Molecule: ribosomal RNA, 624 nt
Filed under: uncultured Acidaminococcus sp.
Lineage: Bacteria; Bacillati; Bacillota; Negativicutes; Acidaminococcales; Acidaminococcaceae
Description: bacterial SSU rRNA
Rfam family: Bacterial small subunit ribosomal RNA
Source: RNAcentral
AUUUAUUUCGGUAAAUUCUUAGUGGCGAACGGGUGAGUAACGCGUAGGCAACCUGCCCUUUGGAUGGGGACAACAUUCCGAAAGGAGUGCUAAUACCGAAUGUGAUCCAUUUCUCGCAUGAGAGAUGGAUGAAAGAUGGCCUCUAUUUAUAAGCUAUCGCCAAAGGAUGGGCCUGCGUCUGAUUAGUUAGUUGGUGGGGUAACGGCUCACCAAGACGAUGAUCAGUAGCCGGUCUGAGAGGAUGAACGGCCACAUUGGGACUGAGACACGGCCCAAACUCCUACGGGAGGCAGCAGUGGGGAAUCUUCCGCAAUGGACGAAAGUCUGACGGAGCAACGCCGCGUGAGUGAUGAAGGUUUUCGGACUGUAAAACUCUGUUGUCAGGGACGAAGGUGCGAUCUGCGAAUAGUUGAUCGUAUUGACGGUACCUGACGAGGAAGCCACGGCUAACUACGUGCCAGCAGCCGCGGUAAUACGUAGGUGGCAAGCGUUGUCCGGAAUUAUUGGGCGUAAAGAGCAUGUAGGUGGGCUUUUAAGUCCGAUGUGAAAAUGCGGGGCUCAACCCCGUAUGGCAUUGGAUACUGGAAGUCUUGAGUGCAGGAGAGGAAAGGGGAAUUCCCAGUG